This 270-nucleotide ribosomal RNA is filed under the name uncultured bacterium. Its description in RNAcentral is "partial 16S ribosomal RNA". It matches the Rfam family "Bacterial small subunit ribosomal RNA", at positions 29 to 289 of the family's 1533-position model. The record is from RNAcentral.
AACGAACGCUGGCGGCGUGCUUAACACAUGCAAGUCGAGUGCACAGUUCCUGUAGCAAUACAGGGAUGGGUGCACGGCGCACGGGUGCGUAACACGUGGGCAAUCUGCCCCUCCGAUGGGGAAUAACCCCGCGAAAGCGGGGCUAAUUCCGCAUAACAUUCCCUGGACUGCGGUCCGGGGACUCAAAGCCGUAAGGCGUCGGAGGAGGAGCCCGCGCCCGAUUAGCUAGUUGGUAGGGUAACGGCCUACCAAGGCAAUGAUCGGUAGCUG